CCUACGGGAGGCAGCAGUGAGGAAUAUUGGUCAAUGGGCGCAAGCCUGAACCAGCCAAGUCGCGUGAAGGAAGACUGCCCUAUGGGUUGUAAACUUCUUUUAUAAAGGAAUAAACAUGAGUACGUGUACUCAUUUGUAUGUACUUUAUGAAUAAGGAUCGGCUAACUCCGUGCCAGCAGCCGCGGUAAUACGGAGGAUCCGAGCGUUAUCCGGAUUUAUUGGGUUUAAAGGGAGCGUAGAUGGGUUGUUAAGUCAGUUGUGAAAGGUUGCGGCUCAACCGUAAAAUUGCAAUUGAUACUGGCAGCCUUGAGUACAGUUGAGGUAGGCGGAAUUCGUGGUGUAGCGGUGAAAUGCUUAGAUAUCACGAAGAACUCCGAUUGCGAAGGCAGCUUACUAAACUGCCACUGACAUUGAUGCUCGAAAGUGUGGGUAGCAAACAGGAUUAGAUACCCCGGUAGUC
RNAcentral lists this ribosomal RNA (460 nucleotides) under uncultured bacterium. RNAcentral describes it as "partial 16S ribosomal RNA". It matches the Rfam family "Bacterial small subunit ribosomal RNA", at positions 338 to 795 of the family's 1533-position model. The record is from RNAcentral.